GACGAACGCUGGCGGCGUGCUUAACACAUGCAAGUCGAGCGGUAAGGCCCUUCGGGGUACACGAGCGGCGAACGGGUGAGUAACACGUGGGUGACCUGCCUCUAGCUCUGGGAUAAGCCUGGGAAACUGGGUCUAAUACCGGAUAUGACUCCACGGCGCAUGUUGUGGGGUGGAAAGCCUUGUGCGGCUGAGGAUGGGCCCGCGGCCUAUCAGCUUGUUGGUGGGGUGAUGGCCUACCAAGGCGA
RNAcentral lists this ribosomal RNA (245 nucleotides) under uncultured Actinomycetes bacterium. Its description in RNAcentral is "uncultured actinobacterium partial 16S ribosomal RNA". It matches the Rfam family "Bacterial small subunit ribosomal RNA", at positions 28 to 276 of the family's 1533-position model. The record is from RNAcentral. Lineage: Bacteria; Bacillati; Actinomycetota; Actinomycetes.